This 378-nucleotide long non-coding RNA is filed under the name Apteryx rowi (Okarito brown kiwi). Its description in RNAcentral is "lncRNA (ENSARWG00000003670.1)". Lineage: Eukaryota; Metazoa; Chordata; Aves; Apterygiformes; Apterygidae. The record is from RNAcentral.
AUGCACAGCGUGGAGUUGCAUCUGUCAGGCUGUUCCUGUUACCCUGGUUGCUUUGUGCCCUGCUCCCCAGGGGCUGCAGAAAGUGAUUCCCCUGUCUGGGAAGGAGCAAGCCUUAUCCUCAUCCUUGUUCAUCUCUACCUGGGAAAGGCUUCUGUUUCAAUGAACUUUUCUUGACAAAAACGAAAAACAUGCUAUCAGAACUGGUCAGAAACUUUGCAAGUUUGCUGCGUACAUGCCUGUCCAUACUACCGUUUUUCCAUAAUAAGUAUAAAUCAGUACAUGCUUACAUUUCUUGUACAUCUUCAAACAGUCUGUCCCCUAACUCAAACAUGUAAAAGAGAGAAUAAAUAUCAGGCUCUGACUUAAUGGACUGUGUGG